CUCGUAAUUCAUCAGGCAUCGCUUCAUCGCCAUAGAAAGAACAUUCCUCGGUAACAUAAUUAUACAGGCAGGAUGUAAGGUUCUUGAAAACUUUUCUGGAUCUUCGAAUGCAAAAUUUUAAUCGCUCUAAUCCAAAGAAAUUCAUAGUUUCAAUUUUAAUAAAGAUCCAUAAGUGUUAUCUUUGAACUUAUCAGAAACUUCUGGUACUCAGAUAUAAAAUAUUCUGAAGACUUCAUUAAACGAGAUACAGGUUGUUCUAUUGGGUGCUACAUAAAUUACAGCCGAACUUGAAAAAUACCAAUUUCAUUUGGAUGGAAAUGAAUUCUGUCUCAUCUUGAAUCGAUCAUUGAUACUGCACGUCUCCUGCAAAAUGUAUGAAUCAAGAUAGAAUCGCUCGAUUGAAUUCAUCGGUUAAAAGGUUCCGGAAUUUUGUCAGAUAAGUUGGUUGUUUGAACAAGCAGGCCAAAUGUUUCUCCCUUUUCAUCAUCAUUCUUCUUCUUUUUCUUCGCAACAGCAAAGGUCGUACAACCGCAUCUACAUGAGAGGUAACGAGGAGCCGUUCUGUCGCAAUAGAGAGACAACGCGAGUCACGAUCGGUCAAGAGAGUUUCGAACCGAAAUGCCGCUCUCAGAUAAAAUUGCAUUUCCGUAAUAGCCGUUCGCGGUUGGCACCCUACUUUGAAAAAAUUGACCGUGAGAAUUUGAUAUCGAUAUCUUUAGAAUUUAGUUUACGAAGAUUACUGCUUCAUCUUUAACGCUAUUUUCCCGAGAGAAGCCUGAUUUCAUUUAUUUUUUAAUUAGAAAUUACGAUCUUCGCUGUUGCCAAACGGAAACGACGAUCCGUUCUUCCUGAUCUCAUUGCGGCUCGCAAUACGGGAUAACUUUGAAAUUUACGUAAUUCUUAAAUAUAUCCAGUUGCGUGCUAGAACUCGAAUAACCAUCCAAUUACAUUGUAUUCUUUAUCUCUCUGUUAAGUUUAAUUUUCCACGAGAUAAUCGUUUCGUAUGCAAACGAAUCUCGGGUCGAACGUCGUUUUUAAUGUCUUCCAUCGUAUAGACAGCCUGCUGACAUGUAAUUUAUGUUGUGCAACAUUCAAACAGGCUGAAAAUAUCUUACAAAUAAAUGCUACCAAUUAUGGCACUCGUAGACAAAGUUUAUAAGUUCCGAAGGGUCAGGUAAAAUAUUUUUCAAAUAAUCUAUGCCAUAUAAUUAAGGAAUCGAUUAUAGUAAAAUUUUAUUCAAUUGUAGUCGCAAUAAUUUAUAAUAACGUUUAAUGGCAUAUUUUAUGGUCAUUCUCCUAAUGAGCGUUUGAUUGAAAAUAUUAAUAAACAUUCCAACAGACGUUUACCUCUAAUCAAUUAGUCAUAGUCAUUUUUGACGUUACAAUCAUCAAAUGUUGAGAUUGAAGGUUGAACAAAUGGAUUCUCAUACCUUAAUUGAUGCACGUUUAUUAGUUUGCAAGCUAUUGAAAAUAAUUAUUCUUUUUACUGUCGUCAUAAUGAAACGCUCGUCGAUUGAUCAUUGAAAAAUAUUUUCAUAGCUACCGCGUAGUCAAUACACAAACUCGUCUUCGAGCAUUAAUUAUCCGUUCGAUUUAUCGUAGCAUUCAUCAUUAUUAUUCAAUAAUGCCAUAUGUUCACCAAAACUGAGAUGAAAAAAACCUGUUAUACCUACAUAAAAACAGAUCGAUCCUACAACGAUUAUACUCUUUUUCUUCUCUCUAGGUAAGAGGAGAGACGAAGCAGUCACUUGCAAGAUGUUAACGAUUUUGUAACCUGGAUCAUCCGCCUCGAGGGCAAUGGGGUAAAGCAAUGACAAAUUUGGAAUUUCCUCAAAAAAUAAGGGAUGAUACCAUUCCGUUUAAAAAUUUGUAAGUAACUGAUGGUAGAAUCGAAAAAUUUGCAACAAGGAGUUUAAACUCGAAUGGUGAUCGGAAUCUGCAGCCGCAUCGAAUGUGAAAGCCAAAUCUGCGAAACGUCGGAUUUUUACCCCUCGUCGUUUGUUGGCAGAUGCCUGGAGGCAUUCGAACACGCGGUCGAGCGUCCUUGAAGAUGCGCCGGGAACGAAGAAGACACCGAGGAUGCCUGCGGCUACCGCGUCUCCGCUGGUAGCGAUUGGCAUCCGAUACUCUCUCUUGUAAAAAAUAUAUAUAUAUAUAUACUGAUCGAAUUGAGUAACCUCCUCCUUUUUCGAAAUCGGUUAAAAAUAGGCGGAUUUUGAUACUCAAUGAUUAAGGAAGAUAAAUGUCAAACAGAGAGCUGGCUUCUUUUUAACGAUUCCAGCAAGGAUUUUUUAUUACAAGUUGACUGUCUACAAUUUUUCUGUAGUUGCAUUUAUAAUAUUAAUGUAGUGGGCUGAUAAUUUGUAGAUACAAAUUAUACUGUGAAAUCAACCACUUCAAUCGAUGAAGAAUUAUGUCAGCCCUCUGUUUCUUCAUCGGUUAUUUAAUAUUUCUAAGUCAACAAAGGAAUACAAGUUAAUCUCCGAUCCAAGAAAGUACAGCAAACACUUCAUUCAUACUUUUGAAUACUGUAAGUUUACCUCCAGACUUUCGCACGUUACCUCAAUAUUUACUUAAUCUACGGCUAUGAAUAAUUAAAUUUCCUUUCGUCAAACUGAAAAUACAUAACUUUACUAA
Long non-coding RNA from Osmia bicornis bicornis, 2637 nucleotides. RefSeq lists it as uncharacterized. Lineage: Eukaryota; Metazoa; Arthropoda; Insecta; Hymenoptera; Megachilidae. The record is from RefSeq and is a predicted model, not a curated record. The transcript is spliced from 4 exons.